RNAcentral lists this non-coding RNA (30 nucleotides) under Mus musculus (house mouse). Lineage: Eukaryota; Metazoa; Chordata; Mammalia; Rodentia; Muridae. The record is from RNAcentral.
UCCAUAAAGGAUUCAGAGCCCUCUGCUCCA